AACGCACCUUGCGCCUUUUGGUAUUCCGAAAGGCAUGCCUGUUUGAGUGUCAUGAAAACAUCAAUCAUUCAUCUUGAUUGGAGAUGGACGCUGCCGUUGGCUCGUCUCAAAGUCGUUAGUGCCGGUCGACGUAAUAAGUUUCGUCAUGGCCGGUGCUUCACCCCAUCUUUCAUCUCUGACCUCAAAUCAGGCAGGACUACCCCGCUGAACUUAA
Molecule: unclassified non-coding RNA, 214 nt
Filed under: uncultured Tremellales
Lineage: Eukaryota; Fungi; Basidiomycota; Tremellomycetes; Tremellales
Description: sequence contains 5.8S rRNA gene, ITS2, 28S rRNA gene
Rfam family: 5.8S ribosomal RNA (bases 1-52)
Source: RNAcentral